Molecule: ribosomal RNA, 253 nt
Filed under: uncultured bacterium
Lineage: Bacteria
Description: partial 16S ribosomal RNA
Rfam family: Bacterial small subunit ribosomal RNA
Source: RNAcentral
UACGUAGGGUGCGAGCGUUGUCCGGAAUUAUUGGGCGUAAAGGGCUCGUCGGCGGUUUGUCGCGUCGGGAGUGAAAUCAUCUGGCUUAACUGGGUGCUUGCUUUCGAUACGGGCAGACUAGAGGUAUGCAGGGGAGAACGGAAUUCCCGGUGUAGCGGUGAAAUGCGCAGAUAUCAGGAGGAACACCGGUGGCGAAGGCGGAUCUCUGGGCCUUACCUGACGCUGAGGCGCGAAAGCUAGGGGAGCGAACAGG